GGGAGGAGCUGCAUUACACACAGGCUUCGGAGGCUUCCGUGGAGAAGCUUGGAGGUAAUGGCUGUCGUAAAUGCUAGUUAUUUUCAGAGAGUUCUCGAAGAUUUGGAAUAAAGAUUAUCUUAAAAGUCCACAGUCGGAGAGGUGGUAAUCAACAUUACACCUGCGGAAAAAUAUUCUUAAAGAGCCGAGCCCCAGAAGGACAGUUCAACCACAGAAGUGCCGAGCCAGGUAAAGACCCUGCUGGACAAGCAGUUGGAGUGAGACUCAAGACAGCUGGACCACAGGACCAGACCCACCAGGAUCCACGUGACAGUGGCAUAGGUUAAUAACAGAGAUGCACAUGACCUGGGCAAUCUGCAUGUGAUACCAGCCAAGCCCCAGGAAGACAGUACAGCCACAGAAGUGCUGAGUCUGGUGAAGGCCCUUCUGGACAAGCAGUUGGAGUGAGAAUCAAGACAACUGGACCACAGGACCAGACCCACCAGGAUCCACGUGACAGUGAGUAAGACUCUUCCAAUGUCACAAAACAUUUCACGGUAGAAACAUGUUGAGAACUUGGAGAAUAAUGUAUUUUGCCUCCUGCUCUACAGCCAUCCUAGCAUUUUAAAUUAAAAGUCAUAUUUCCUGUUAGAAUCAUGUUAGGUUGAUAAUUUGGGGUACAAUUCAUUUUGCUCCCUGUUCUGCAUUCAUGACACUUUAUAAUUAAAAGUCGUAACUUCUAGUUUGGAGAAGAAUCUCACUUUUUAAACCUUUAUGAAGAAAUCACCCAAGAGGCUAUUCAGGUGUCUUCCUGAGGUUCAGGCCAGUGGCCUGACUCUCCAAUCCUUUGUAAUGAUCCUAUCCAACAAGUUGUCAUAGCAGUAAUUCUGACUCUCUGCCUUCUAAAAUUAUGCUUUUAGAAGAGUCAUUGUAUUUUUGUCUGGGUCCAGGAGAUACAGACCCUGUUGUCUUUGUCUGCCUGCUCUGGGGGAACAGUGGAGCACUUGGAGCUUAAAAAACAUAAA
RNAcentral lists this long non-coding RNA (1004 nucleotides) under Cercocebus atys (sooty mangabey). RNAcentral describes it as "lncRNA (ENSCATG00000045587.1)". The record is from RNAcentral. Lineage: Eukaryota; Metazoa; Chordata; Mammalia; Primates; Cercopithecidae.